UAUAGGCAAGUAAUCCAAAGGGUGAAGUAAAGUGAAGUAGGGCAAUCCAAAAUUCGCCAUUUUUACUUUAGUGAAGGGAGAUUUUAUAAAUUGUCAGGCUGGAGGACGAAGAAUAUUUUGUAAAAAGUGUGUCAUUAGAUUUAAUUUCUCGUAGCGGAGACUGUUAUUUGAAAAAAUCUUAGUAUAAUAGUGUGGUUUUAUUUAUUACUAACGUUUGUAUGUAGUGCUACUUCCCCAUCGUAAAAUUUGCUCGUUGGUGUGUCGCUUUAGCUAAUUCGAUGGCUAUGAUAUCGAAGUUUUAAUCUAACGUGUCGCUUGACGAUCUCCAUAAGAGAUAAUAUCGAGAAAGUGAGGCGACGCCUUUAGAAAUGAGCAGGCCUCAAGGCGGACGCAUUCAAGUCCCGGAUGACCUUAGAGAGAUCCUAUUGGAGUUCACCAUAAGUUACCUGUUGGAGCAGCCGGGGGACGUGAUCAACUACGCGGUCGAGUUCUUCACAAGGUUACAGAACAACAGGACGACGACAAUCGUGCGGGGGCCCACGGCCGGCACUCCCGAUGAGUCCAUAAUAUCAGACGAAGAAGAGCCGCCGAAGGCGCGCUUCAACAACCGGCGCAAGUCCGUGUUCGCCGAGACGUAUGACCCCGAGGAGGAUGACUCCGACGAGGGAGCGCCCGCCGUCUUCCCCAAGUCGGAUGCCCAGCGCGCUCGCCUCGCCGAGGCCGUCCGCGGCAUUCUGCUGUUCCGCUCGCUCGAUGCACAGCAAAUGCAGCAGGUGUUGGACGCAAUGUUCGAGAAGCGUUCGGAGCCCGGCGAGUACGUGAUCCGGCAGGGCGACGACGGAGACAACUUCUACGUCAUCGAGAACGGAGUCUUCGACGUGCUAGUCACCGGCGAUGAUCGCGUCGAGAAGGUGGUGCACACGUACGAAGGCUCGGGCUCGUUCGGCGAGUUGGCGCUGAUGUACAACAUGCCGCGCGCGGCGUCGGUGCGCGCGCAGACGCCCGGCGCGCUGUGGGCCAUGGACCGCCACACCUUCCGCCGCAUCCUGCUCAAGAGCGCCUUCAAGAAGCGCAAGCUGUAUGAAGAGCUGCUCGACAAGGUGCCCAUGCUCAAGGCGCUCCAGCCGUACGAGCGCGCGAACCUGGCGGACGCGCUGCUGCCGCGCACGCUGAUCGACGGCGAGCUGAUCAUCCGGCAGGGCGACACCGCCGACGGCAUGUACUUCGUCGAGGACGGCUCCGUCAGCAUCCGCAUCACGCGCGACGACGGCAACGAGCACGAGAUCAAGCGCCUCGGCAAGGGCGGUUACUUCGGCGAGCUGGCCCUUGUGACCCACAAGCCGCGUGCCGCCUCCGCUUACGCCGUCGGGCCCACUAAGGUGGCAUUCCUGGACGUGGAGACAUUCGAGCGUCUGCUUGGCCCAUGCAUGGAGAUCAUGAAGCGCAACAUCGACGACUACGAGGAACAGCUGGUGAAGUUGUUCGGCGACAAGACCAACCUCACCGACGUGCGAUGAACCGGCACCUCCGCCGCUACCUUCCACACUACGUAAUCUUCCCGCAUCACACUCACCGAGGUGAGGCGUCACGCGUCCGCCGCGUAUUGUCUGUGUGUCCCCCGUGUAACGAAUCCAGUAGUUAAUAGUAUCGUGCAAUAACUGAUUAGUGAUCAGUCAUUACUGUCGUUUAUCUAUGUCAUUUACAUCGGUAUGUGUUAAAAUUUGUCCGUGUGGAAUUUAUUUAUAUAGUUAUAAUCAAAUAAAAAUCAUAGUAUUGUAAGAUAAAUGUAUUUCUCUCUUAACGAUGUUAAGAAUGUGUCUGCAAUACGCGUGUCAUGUUGUAGAGAUGUGGGACUUAGAAAAUUCAGUAUGUCGAAUUUAUACGCAAUAUUUACGAUGUAAUGUGUAGAUUGCACAAAUGUCGCGAGUCACGAGUGCUGAAUGGAGGUUUGGUAAUUCUGUUGUCUUCCACGGGACGCACAGAGGUUUGGUCACUACGUUACAGACGCAUUCAUCGGACCGCUACACUACGCAUUCUCUGGCACACUGAUGUAAAAUUAAAAUUCAAUACGCUUAACUGUAGCGUAAUUUUUUAUAAAUUAUACUAGUCAUUGGUGUCUAAUGUAGAUUUGUAACCUGACAGCACAUUGGAGCGGGACAUAGUGAACAUCCCAUCCAUGUUAGGUGUAAGUCAUACUACCUGUCCCAUGUUAACUAAAGCAUAUCAGUGCGGCAGGCUUGCCCGCAUCCGAAUCUAUUUAUACGCACCACACGUGUACAUCCGGUAGCCAGUUGAGAACUAGUACCGCUUUCCCACGUCAUGAGCUUACCCUGUACAUUUAUAAAAAUUAUGUAUCGUAAAAUGUUAGAAAACUGAAUUAUAUUUGUUUGUAGAUCCAAA
This 2400-nucleotide unclassified non-coding RNA is filed under the name Manduca sexta (tobacco hornworm). Its description in RNAcentral is "cAMP-dependent protein kinase type II regulatory subunit, transcript variant X1". Lineage: Eukaryota; Metazoa; Arthropoda; Insecta; Lepidoptera; Sphingidae. The record is from RNAcentral.